GACGUAGGGCGCGAGCGUUGUCCGGAUUUAUUGGGCGUAAAGAGCUCGUAGGCGGCUCAUUGCGUCAACCGUGAAAACCAGCAGCUCAACUGUUGGCUUGCGGUUGAUACGGGUGGGCUGGAGUUCGGUAGGGGAGACUGGAAUUCCUGGUGUAGCGGUGAAAUGCGCAGAUAUCAGGAAGAACACCCGUGGCGAAGGCGGUUCUCUGGAACGCAACUGACGCUGAGACGCGAAAGCGUGGGGAGCGAACAGG
This 253-nucleotide ribosomal RNA is filed under the name uncultured bacterium. Its description in RNAcentral is "partial 16S ribosomal RNA". It matches the Rfam family "Bacterial small subunit ribosomal RNA", at positions 524 to 776 of the family's 1533-position model. The record is from RNAcentral.